This 31088-nucleotide long non-coding RNA is filed under the name Sorghum bicolor (sorghum). RNAcentral describes it as "long non-coding RNA (SBIC_LNC018100)". The stretch from base 25752 to 25858 matches the Rfam family "Plant small nucleolar RNA R71". The record is from RNAcentral. Lineage: Eukaryota; Viridiplantae; Streptophyta; Magnoliopsida; Poales; Poaceae.
GUCCCAAGCAAACAAUCAAACUUAGCCUCGAUGGAUCAACUAUUGUUACUAUGCUCACAUUUCAAGAGUACCAUGUGUACAACAAAGUUCUUCUCUUUGAAUGAAAUAUUAGCUUAAAAACUCACCCAUAUUACCUUAGUCCUCUAUGGGGCUUAUGGCUUUUCCUUUGUCUUAGGCGGUUGAAAGAUAGAACGGUUUGACUUGAGCACUCAUUUUCUUAUUCAUAGCAAGUUUCAUACCGGAGGUUUUGUAAUAUUUUUUUUCAAAUGAAAACUUAAUGUUCCUCAUAUGGUUCUCUCAAGUCACUCGAAUGGUGUAUGAUUCCUCACCUAGGCAUAUGAUAAGAAUUACCUUCCUUAGUUCUUCCUACUUCUAAAAAGCAUAUGUGGAGUUCAAGGUAGGGAUAAAGAAAGAUAGAAUACUCACUUUGCAUUUAUUGGGAAGUCAAAGCUUGGAUCCAAGAAGAGAAGUGUCAUACCCCUAGAUCAAGAUGUGCAAGUGUGUGGUAUAUAAUGAGCUAGGUUGCUCCUUUAUUUGAUAAGAUAUCUCUCUCUAUUUUUUUUUCUAUUAAGACAUGGCUAGCUCUUUUUUUCUUUUCUUCUUUUUUCAUGGACCUUCAUGUGCCCAUAUGUAUAUAUAUGUUGCAUAGCCCUUUUGGUGUCUCAUCUAUUACGCCAUAUUUGGAGAGGUAUUCUAAUACUUAAAGCAAGGAGCAAGUUAUUUGGUGGAAAUGGAAGACAUAUUUUUGCGUACUUCUAGUGUAGAAGCAGCAUGUAUAUAUGUGGUGUGUGUGUGAUCUUGAUCUUGGGAGCAUGAUAAGUCUCUUAAACAAGGGUCAACAAGACUUGACAACACUCAACACAAAUCAAAUAGCUUAUGUGGAAGGUUUAUAAACAUGUAGAGCAUAUAUGGCCGUGGUAGGAAUUUAUCAUCAGUGAGGAACAAUUAAGGUUUUGAUCAUUUUAAGAAUAAAUUCUCAGGUAUUGCAACAUGCUUAGAACAAUACUAUAGCAGCUCUAAUCUCACUAUCUCAUAUCCCUCAACAACUUAGACUUAGUUUUAGCACUUGCAACCCACAAAGUUUUUGGGUUCAUGAUGGUUUAAGUGAGCUAAGUAAUACAUACUUGGAGAAAUGCUAGGCUGUAAACUAGGUACUAAGGAAAUAUUGACAGAGUAACUAUUCAUCAUUUCCAUAAGGAAGAUAAACAUACAUGAAGCAUAUGUGUUAAGCGAGAUAAGCAAAUAUUUUUUUGAUAUUUUCUUUUUUUGAAUGCACUAAGAUGAAUAACUAGAAUGCAAAAUGCUAAGAUAGAAUACUUACCUUAGUGGGGGAGAGGAUCUCCCCCAAGCUUGGCUUUUGCUCACUGUGGCGGCGGAUAAUGUUAGAACCAUCCGGCCCAUCAUUGUGCUUCCUUAGCUUGUAUUGCUUGUAGAAGUUGGGCAUUUUGUUGUGCCAGCUGCAGCAUUGCUUCUUAUUCAAUGUGCAUUGCACCCGUGUUGUUGAUGAGGUCGUCCAUCUCUAUCCUUGUUGGGUAUUUUAAACGCAAACAGAAAAAUCCGCAAGCGCACGGAUACCGAUGUAACUUUCACCCGGGAGUAUUCCAGAGUAUCGAUUUUCCACAGGGAACGUGAGUGUACUAAUUAAGAUCCAAGAUCGCCCAAGGAUAACUAUAUACUUAUUUUUGGUGGGAAGAGAGGAAGUUUCCUGAGAGUUCUCUAGUUGAUCUAAGAAUCAAGAUUUAUUUCAAGAUUAUCUAUAUCGGGACAUCAGAGCACUAACCACAGAAAGAGAUGAGAAGGGGGCUAGGAAGGUCUGACUACGGUCCUACAAACACCGAUCCGAACGAGGUGGAAUACGUCGACCGUUAGGGCUGUCACUACCCUAAGGCUACCACAACAAUCCGCAGGAUUGGGUGCAAUUCCAGGUAAUUGCAAGACUAAACACCACGUCUAAUCUAUUAAUUACUACUCUAAUGUUGCAAAGAUUAGAGCACUUGAUGCAAGCGGGAAUCCAAUAAACAACUUGAAUGUAAAUAAAAGUAAUUAAAGAACUCAGGAUUAUGAAUUGAAGAACCUGGAGAACGAUGAAGAACGAACCAGUUGCUGCAAAAGUACAAUGUUGAGGAAGAUCCGACAGAUCCGGCUCCUCCUCCUCCGCUCUCCUCUUCUCUCUCCCUAUUUUCUAGAUUACAACUAGAACUAACUAGAACUAGAACUAGAGGAACUAGAACUAGAACUAGAACUAGAUGAACUAGAACUAGAUCUAGAUGAACUAGAGGUAGAACUAGAAGAACUAGAGGGAUCCUCUCUACUUGGAUGAAGACUUGAAACCCUAACUUUGAUUCUGUAGAAGAGGUAUGAUCUCCAGGGGCCAGGGGGGUCUGGUUUUAUAGUCCCUUCAAGUGAAUCUGGGCUGUCGGAUCAAACCGACAUUGAUCGCAUGGUUUUCCUUGAUCCUUUAGGUCUGUGGAGCAUAAUCCGCGAAAUGUGUCCUGAUUGGGCACUGUAGCUGGGCGGGCGCCCAGGAGAGUUGGGCGGGCGCCCUGCCUCCGAGCCCGAUUUCCUUCCCAUUCGUUCCCGUGGCUUCUGGAGUCUUCUAGAUGAUAGAAAAUUGCGCGACACAUUAAUAUCUCUAUGUAAACCCGACGUGUGGGCCUUUCUUUCAUAUUUCCUGAUAACCCCCUGCAGAAAUAGACAAACACCAAAACUCGUGGAAUUCUGUCAGAUAAAACCCUAAGUCUAGGUGUUGGUUGCAUUUGGAUCCUUUUCCAUGAUUAGUUGAUGGUUAAAUGUGAGCAUUAAGGACCGUCAACAAGCUCCCCCAAGCUUAACCUUUGCUCGUCCCUGAGCAAAGCUAAAAUCAGUAAGAAAAUAGGGGUUACUAUUAUGCCUCUUACUACAGGGUUUUUAAGGUCUUAAGUGAUUGAAAAACAGAACGAUCAAGUCAAGCACUAUGUCUCAAGUUCUUCUGUCUUAGCUUUGUUCUGGAGUUUUUUUUUUAUGAGUCUGCAAAAUAAAACCGAGGCAUUUGCCUUCUUCUCGAAAGAUAUAUAUAAGUAGAGCUUUAAAAGUUUUAGCAUACUUACUUUGCAUUUUGCUAUGUCAAUGCUCGGAGCAAGGGAGAGGAAUGUCAUACUCCUAGAUCAAGACCUUUGACCUUUUUGAGAAGUUUGUCAUCUCUUACUGGCAUAUUGCUUAUUAGAGGGACCAUGGGCUAUCAUUUUUUUUUCUCUUUUUUUUCAGUCUCUUUUUUUUGAGUGGGCAGCAAGUACCCCUAAUUCUACUGUCGGACACAUGUCCAUUUUUUCCACUCAGGUGGGUAUCUUUGUACCCUUAAUUCUACUUCGGACACUUGUCCAUUUUUAUCUCUCAUCUCACUCUUUCUUUUUUUUCGAAACAAAUUUUUGCAUAGUCCCAUGCCUCUAACGCAAUAAUACUUCGGAAGAGUGAAUCUUUUAUAUUUUUAAAACAAAAAGAUCUUGAUCUUGGGAGCAUGAUAAUUCUCUCAACCAAAACUACAAGAAUUAACAAUGGCUUGAACAAAGCAAGUGCCCACAGUUUUAAUAUUUAUAUCUUAUAAGACUCUAGGUAUUAUGAUCUCAUAUAUUUUUUUUAUGAAUUUUUAGAUUUUCAAAAGAUAAAAUCUCCAGAACUCUAGCAAAACAUGGAACAAGUUAAAUAGUAGCUCAGACCUUCUCAUAUCAUGUUUGUCAAUUACCUAGACUUGAAUCAAACUCUUUUUUUUAUUUAAAACUUAGAAUUACACAAAACUAUUGUAUAUUACUCAAAAGAAAAACUUUGUUUGGUUUCAUGGUUAUGCAUUUUUUUAUUUCCGAAUACUAGUAAAUAAAACCAAGAAAGAAAAGUAAUACUUAUCUAGAUACACGUGGGGGUGCCUCCCCCAAGCUGGAUGUUGACAUAGUCGUUCACUCUUGUGGCCUGCAUGUUCGGUCUCACUCUUCUUAAGCUUCAAAAUCCUGCACAACCCAAAUAGACAACAAAACUCGUGGAACAUGUUAAGGGUUAGGUAAUUGUCUAGAGCUUAUGAGAGCUUAAUAUGAGAAUUCUAUGAACUCAAUCACAUCAAGUUCCUCUACCAGGUUGUUUUGUGGCUCGAGAUAGAUUUUCAAGCGUUGACCAUUUACCUUAAAAGUGUUACCUAUGUCAUCUUGGAUGGUAAUGGCUCCAUGAGUUGAAGUGUCAAUAACCUUGUAUGGUCCAUCCCACUUACUUCGUAGCUUACCAUGCCCAAAGAGCUUAACUCUUGAAUUGAAUAGUAGAACCUUAUCUCCAGACUUAAACUCCUUGUGCUUGAUUCUCUUAUCAUGCCAUCGUUUUGUUCUCUCUUUAUAAAUCCUUGAAUUGUGGUAGGCUUUCUCUCUCCAUUCUUCUAGCUCAGAUAGUUGCAUCAGACGAUUCUCACUAGCGAGGUGGAGAUCCAUGUUCCAUUUCUUAAGUGCCCAAUGAGCCUUAAACUCUACUUCCACAGGCAAGUGACAAGUUUUUCCAUAUACAAGUUGAUAAGGUGACAUGCCUAUGGGUGUUUUGAAUGCAGUUCUAUAUGCCCAAAGUGCAUCAGGAAGUUUGUCCUUCCACCCCUUACCCAUCUCAUCUACGGUCUUUUGUAAAAUAUUUUUGAUUUGUUUGUUAGAUGUUUCGGCUUGACCGCUAGUCUGAGGAUGGUAUGGUGUUGCGACGUUGUGUCGAACUCCAUGAUCGGCUAGGUACUUCCGGAAGAUUUUGUCGAUGAAGUGAGAACCUCCAUCGCUUAUAACUAUCCGGGGUAUACCAAAGCGAGGAAAGAUUACUUCAUGGAACAUUCUCUUGGCAUGUUUUGAAUCAGCUGAUCGACAAGGUAGGGCUUCUACCCAUUUGGACACGUAGUCCACAGCUACUAAGAUAUACUCGCAAUUCCCGGACAUAGGGAAUGGCCCCAUGAAAUCAAUGCCCCAAACAUCGAAAAGUUCUACUUGAAGAUUAUUUGUGAGAGGCAUUUCAUUUCGUGAGUUAAUAUUCCCAUGUUUUUGACACCGGUGGCAUCUCCUGACAAAGUCCUUUGUAUCUUCAUACAUCGUUGGCCAGAAAAAACCACUUUGCCAAAUUUUAGCAUGUGUCCGAAAUGCUCCAUAGUGUCCUCCAUAUGGCGAGGCAUGGCAUCUUUCCAUAAUUUGAGUAGCCUCAACCAUAGGAACACACCUUCUCAAGAGUCCAUCAGCGCAGACUCAGAAAAGAUAUGGCUCAUCCCAAAGGUGGAAACGACUAUCGUGAAGCAACUUCCUUUUGUUUGCACCAGGUGGGACAUAGCCUUUUACUAUAAAGUUUACGAUGUCUGCGUACCAUGGAUCUGCAUGUGUUAUCUUAAGCAGGGUGUCAUCCCUUAGGUAGUCAUUUAUGGGAAGCUCAUCAUGUGUUUCCUUAUAUUGAAGCCUAGAUAAGUGGUCGGCUACGGAAUUCUCAACUCCCUUCCUAUCUCGGAUUUCUAUGUCAAAGUCUUGGAGUAGAAGAAUCCACCGAAUUAGACGAGGCUUACCAUCUUUCUUAGUGAGGAGGUACUUGAGAGCAGCAUGGUCUGAAUAGAUGAUUAUCUUCGCCCCCACUAAGUAAGAUCUAAACUUGUCUAUAGCAAAGACAACAGCCAAAAGCUCUUUUUUAGUUGUAGUGUAAUUGAGCUGUGGUCCAGACAAGGUUUUGCUAGCGUAGGAUAUGGCAUAAUGCUUUUUAUCCUUGGUUUGUCCUAAAACGGCCCCGACCGCAAAAUCGCUAGCAUCACACAUGAUCUCAAAAGGAAGAUUCCAAUCAGGUGGUUGGAUAAUCGGGGCUGAGAUGAGUGCUUUCUUAAGAGUUUGAAAAGAUUCAUGACACUCAUCACUAAAGAUGAAAGGUGCAUCCUUAACUAGGAGAUUAGUUAAGGGUCUAGCAAUUUGAGAGAAAUUCUUGAUAAAGCGUCUAUAGAACCCUGCAUGUCCCAAAAAGCUACGGAUUCCUUUCACAUUCGUGGGAGGUGGAAGUUUUUCAAUAACUUCAAUCUUUGCUUUGUCCACCUCUAUACCACGUUCGGACACUUUAUGUCCUAGCACUAUUCCUUCCUGAACCAUAAAAUGGCAUUUCUCCCAGUUCAGGAUUAAGUGCUUUUCUUCACAUCGCUGCAAGACUCUAUCUAAAUUCUCCAAACAAUGAUCGAAGGUUUUGCCAUAGACAGUAAAAUCAUCCAUGAAAACCUCCAUGAUCUUCUCAAUCAUGUCCGAGAAAAUAGACAUCAUGCACCGUUGGAAAGAAGCUGGAGCAUUGCACAAUCCGAACGACAUUCGUCGGUAUGCAUAAGUUUCAUAUGGGCAUGUAAAGGUAGUCUUUUCUUGGUCAUCUGGGUGGAUUGGGAUUUGGUGGUAUCCAGAAUAACCAUCAAGGAAACAAAAGAAACAGUGGUUUGCAAGCCGUUCCAACAUUUCAUCAAUGAAGGGUAACGGAAAGUGAUCUUUCUUUGUAGCCUUAUUGAGUUUUCGAUAGUCAAUACACAUACGCCACCCAGUGACAAUUCGUUGAGGGAUGAGUUCAUUCUUCUCAUUCCUAACGACCGUCAUUCCUCCUUUCUUUGGCACUACUUGGACAGGGCUAACCCACUCACUAUGUGGCACAGGAUAAAUAAUCCCAGCACGAUAGAGUUUGAGGACCUCUUUCUUAACAACCUCUCGCAUAGCAUUGUUAAGUCUCCGUUGUGGUUCCCUUGAAGGUGUAGAAUUGGGAUCAAUAGGGAUACGAUGAGUGCAGAGAAUGGGACUAAUGCCCGUGAGAUCCUCGAGAGAGUAGCCAAAAGCUGAUCUAUGUCUUUCAAGAACAGUGACAAGUUGUUGUGUUUCAUAAUCGGAAAGCUUGUCACUGAUAAUUACUGGAGUUUUUGAGUUGUUGUGCAAGAAGACAUAUCUAAGGCCAUAAGGAAGAGGUUUUAAUUCUUUCGAAGGAGGUGAAGGUAGUUCAUUUUUGUCUAGCUCAACGGGUUCUACCAACUCUUCUUCUUCUUGAACAAAGUGUUAGUGAUUAAAGAAUGGUUGGGUCAUCUCCUCUUGAGUCACCAUUAAGACCUCCUCAAUAGGAUCUGGGUCAAGUUUGGGUUCCACUAUCGUGUUAAUUGAUCUAGCAAGAGGAACAACAAUAGUGGAAUUCCCAACCUUGAAGUCUAAAUGACCUCGUUGUGGUUGUUCCUGUAGAAGUUUCAUGAUUGGUCUGCCAAUCAAGAGAGGAAUCUCUGGUAUGUCAAAAAUGUGAAAGUCUAGACAUAUUCCAGAGUCCUUGAUUCUAACAGAAACUGCCCUUAAUACCCCAUGGCUUUCUAGAAUUAACCUAGAUGGACUUUGUAAAAGUUUUUGAGAUGGGGUUAUGGACUCGUUGGGAUGAAGAGUGUCAGCUAACUCCUUGGAAAUAACAUUUAUCCCAACAUAUGGAUUGUAGUGGACCUUCCUAGCGGACCUUCUAAUUUGGCAUAGAAGAAUGGUUGAAGGAGUGAUGAUCCGAGCUACCUCAGGAGACAGCUUUGCUUCUGUUAGCCAUUCAUAACUCAGAAUAGCUGAAAGGCUUUUGAUGUGUUCUAUGUCAACAGAUUCUACUCUUAGAACAGAUUGAGUGGUCCUUGCUAGAGGUCGUGUUUGGAUAGGAAAAUUCGAGGUGUUUCCAUAAUCUUCAAAAAGAUCUUCCUCGAAUUCAAAGGGAUGCUCUAAAGGUGGUGGUUCAUCAUCCUUUAGUUGGUUUUGCAUUCCCUUAUCAGGAGGUUUCUCUACAACCAAAAUAAUAGGUGGGUCAGGUGGAAUUUCUAACUCGGUUGCAAGUUCCUCUUCUUUUGGUUUAGGAUUAGGCUCGACUUCUUUUUCUUCUUCAGGAAACUCAUCAUAAAUGCCUGUGUAAGGGGUAUUUUCAAGAAUUCUUUCUAGGAUAGCUCUCCCCUCAUCUGUGAGUUUGUGUUUGAAUGAGCCUCCUGAAGCAAUGUCGAGGUGAAGAGCAGCCUCCUUGUUUAGACCACGAUAAAAGUGGUAGUACAGUACAUGGUCAGGCAGGGAAAGGUUUGGACCGGAAUUGGUAAGGCUUGUGAACCUAGCCCAAGCUGCUCCUAAAGUUUCCUUCUCUCUUUGUUUGAAUGUAAGAAUUUCUAUUCUAAGGUCAGCAAUUCGAAAAAGUGGGAAGAAAGCGAGACAAAAGUUGCCCCGAAGUUCAUCCCAACUUCCAUUAACGCCUCCUACAGAAUGAGCAUACCACUUUUUUUGCUCUUCCUAAAAGGAAGAACGGAAAUAAUUUCCAUUUAAGGGUGCCUUGUGUCAUGCCGGAAAUAGAUCGGCAAGAGCACAACUGCUCGAAUUCUCUAAGGUGGGUGUAUGGAUCUUCAUCUACUUGCCCAGAGAAGGGUUGCUCCUGAAUCAUGGCUAUUAGAUCAGGGCCGAGGUCGUAGCCAUCUGUAAGAAUUGGAUGUGAUGAUGGUGGUGGCUCCAAUAACUCACCCUUUGGAGCAAAGAAUUUAUAGGUAGGAGUGAAAUCCAUGUGGUAUGGUGAAAAUGGUAAGGUGAGUGUGGUAAAAGGGAAAAGAAAAAGGAUACAUGGACGACUUGGUUCGAAACUAGCACAGCUACCGUUCUCCGGCAACGGCGCCAGAAAUCUUGUUGGGUAUUUUAAACGCAAACAGAAAAAUCCGCAAGCGCACGGAUACCGAUGUAGCUUUCACCCGGGAGUAUUCCAGAGUAUCGAUUUUCCACAGGGAACGUGAGUGUACUAAUUAAGAUCCAAGAUCGCCCAAGGAUAACUAUAUACUUAUUUUUGGUGGGAAGAGAGGAAGUUUCCUGAGAGUUCUCUAGUUGAUCUAAGAAUCAAGAUUUAAUUCAAGAUUAUCUAUAUCGGGACAUCAGAGCACUAACCACAGAAAGAGAUGAGAAGGGGGCUAGGAAGGUCUGACUACGGUCCUACAAACACCGAUCCGAACGAGGUGGAAUACGUCGACCGUUAGGGCUGUCACUACCCUAAGGCUACCACAACAAUCCGCAGGAUUGGGUACAAUUCCAGGUAAUUGCAAGACUAAACACCACGUCUAAUCUAUUAAUUACUACUCUAAUGUUGCAAAGAUUAGAGCACUUGAUGCAAGCGGGAAUCCAAUAAACAACUUGAAUGUAAAUAAAAGUAAUUAAAGAACUCAGGAUUAUGAAUUGAAGAACCUGGAGAACGAUGAAGAACGAACCAGUUGCUGCAAAAGUACAAUGUUGAGGAAGAUCCAACAGAUCCGGCUCCUCCUCCUCCGCUCUCCUCUUCUCUCUCCCUAUUUUCUAGAUUACAACUAGAACUAACUAGAACUAGAACUAGAUGAACUAGAACUAGAUCUAGAUGAACUAGAGGUAGAACUAGAAGAACUAGAGGGAUCCUCUCUACUUGGAUGAAGACUUGAAACCCUAACUUUGAUUCUGUAGAAGAGGUAUGAUCUCCAGGGGCCAGGGGGGUCUGGUUUUAUAGUCCCUUCAAGUGAAUCUGGGCCGUCGGAUCAAACCGACAUUGAUCGCAUGGUUUUCCUUGAUCCUUUAGGUCGGUGGAGCAUAAUCCGCGAAAUGUGUCCUGAUUGGGCACUGUAGCUGGGCGGGCGCCCAGGAGAGUUGGGCGGGUGCCCUGCCUCCGAGCCCGAUUUCCUUCCCAUUCGUUCCCGUGGCUUCUGGAGUCUUCUAGAUGAUAGAAAAUUGUGCGACACGUUAAUAUCUCUAUGUAAACCCGACGUGUGGGCCUUUCUUUCAUAUUUCCUGAUAACCCCCUGCAGAAAUAGACAAACACCAAAACUCGUGGAAUUCUGUCAGAUAAAACCCUAAGUCUAGGUGUUGGUUGCAUUUGGAUCCUUUUUCAUGAUUAGUUGAUGGUCAAAUGUGAGCAUUAAGGACCGUCAACAGUCCUUUGGUGGCACCUUUCCCUGCCCCGUGGGUGAGGAGUGCGUUGUGGACGUGGAGGCCUUUCCAUGGACCCUCAUAUGUCCAUAGAGCUUGCCUCAUCGCCUUCUUCAACUUCAUCUCCUGCAGGAUUUGAGGGAGCACAUUGCUCCAUUUAAGCAGCUCGUGACAUUCCUCUUGUCAUUUGGCGUGGUCCUACAAUAUUUUGGCUACGUGACUCUUUGUCUAAUUUAAUGGUUAGCGUACGAAGCGCAUACAGUUGACAUUUCUCACAAGGGAGAGGAACUUCAACUGUAUAGCCCGAAUAAACCAUUUUAAGUCCAAACCUUGGACCUCUUUUGAGCACAUUAAUAUUAAUGAAGACAUCCUCAUUUAAAACAUCUCUAGCAGAGGUGAUGUACUCAAAGGUAUGUGGCUCUAGUGCAUCCGUUGAUUCGGCUAUACGAGUAAUGAAUGAUGUAAAGUAAACGGGUUUUCCAUACUCAAUGGAGUUGAGCCAAUAGUCCACUAGCAGUUUAACAGGUGAGACCUUAAUUUUGCAUACCAUUGCAUAGAGAAGUUUAAGUUCUUCAUCACUUAAGAUGUUACCUCUAGUUCUAAGAAAAAGAGUCAUACACAUCCACUAAUGAAGAAAACACAGGGUCAGGUUAUGGAUUUGGUGGGGUGUAAGAUUAGAGCAAUCGUUGGAACCAGAUAUUGCUUUCCAAAAGUCAUUUUUCUAAACCCGAUAGUGGCAUGGUCUAGAUCAAGUUCACAAUUGUGCUCACAUCCUAGGGUAGUGUUCAAGAUGCUCCAAGUUAAAUGACAUUUUUCCCUAAACAUGUGAAAGGCUACGCCAUUGAAUGUUAAUUGUAAAGUACACAAAAAAUCUUGGGUGAUCACUUCUAUGCCAAGUUCAGGAACCAUCCAAAAUCCUCCCCAACCAAUUGUGUUAAAAACAGCAUUAAACUCUGCACUCAUACCUGUGUGGUCCAAGAGAACCGGAUCGAUGAUGCUUGUGCAGCGGAAACUGCUUGAUCGUAGGGUGUUGUAUUUCUGCAGCUCUUCUUGGGUUAGCAUGAGGCCGCUCCCGGGCUCUCUUACUCUUGGUGGAGGCUCAUAGAGUACCACUUGGUGGUGACUCUCUUCCUCAUCCCUCCUCUCAUGGGUUCCUUUGGUGUGGUGAGAGUUAUGGGAAGAGCUCUCACCCUUCUUGGACUUCUUAAACCGGGAGGUGAGUAACUUCUUCAUCUUGCUACACAAGUGAGACAAACCAAGCUCCUACUAUUCCUACUAUGCAAGGGAUAAAGGGCAAAUCUUUUUGGGUUUUUGUUUUGGUAUGCUACUACUAAGCUAAACAUUGAGAGAGAACUUGCAACAAGACAGAAGAGAAGAAUGCUUGUGAGCUCAGGAUAUUCUAAAUGGUUGGGUGUGGAGUUGAGCUCACAAUGCAUGGGUAUUUAUUGGGGGAGUGCCACACCCUGGUUUAAAAAAAUAAACCAGAGUCAUCAUAUGUGUGCCCAAGAAGUCCACACAUAUAACAAAAGAAUAGAAAUAUCAGAAACAAUGUUAUAUAUAGCGGAAAACAUAUUUAUAAUAACAGUUACAAACAUCGGGCCCAAUAUAGUUGUUAUGGUGCUUAAUCUGUAGACAGAGUAUGUGGAAACAGUAGCUAAACUUCUUUGGCUCCAUUCUUCUCAGGGACGGUUGACUGGGGGCUGUGUAUGCCAAGCACUUCUCAUAAGCUUCUAGAAAUCUCCAUGACAUCUUAACCUUCUUCUGAGCAGCACUUUGCUACGCACUGGGGGUGUGGGGGAAAUAGCAAGGGUGAGUUCAUGUCGAACUCAACAAGUACAGGUAGAAAGUAUAAUGACAUGCAAGGCUUAAUCAAAGGAAAAGCUGACACUGUUUAACUACAGGUGAGCUUUUAAGUUGGUAAACUUUUGUUACGAUUCUUAUAUUAAAACAACCUAUUACUAAAUAUGAGUGAAGCAUCCCAACCCUUAAUUAGAUGAAAGUAAAUUAAUAAUACUAUUACUCAUCAUUAUAAUUAUUAUUAUUGUUAAGAUCUCUGAGGUAGCAACCUCAAAUAGUAACUCGGGGUAGCAACCCCAUUAAGGUCAUGGGAUAGCAAUCCCAAUUAAGAACACAUGAUAGCAAUCCUGCCAACACGGAAUAGCCAUUCCGCCAAAGCACGAGGUAGCAACCUCAACCAAAUUUCGCCUCCAAGUUUCAUGUUAUUCCAAUUUGCUCAUCAUGUGAGAGUCUGGGCCGCUCGUGACCGUGAGCCCGGCUGAUAUAUCAGUUUUACACUCUGCAAAGGUGUGCACUUUCACUCCAAGUCAUGAUUCCCAUUCGCCCGGGGUCGCGACUCCCCAAAACACUACCAAGGUGAGCAGGUAGGGAUUCACUACGAGACCUUUCACAGGUUCCGACUAAUAAGAUGCCACUCGUAAGUUUUUGCCAGGGCGCGCAGCAGCCGUGCCCAUAGCAAUGGGACCCCGCACUGACCGACCUCUUAAUAUGAAUACCCAAGCUACUUCCUUACGCCUACCUGGAAAGUAACACCCUACCAGCGGAGGUCCUGAUAAUUAGUCAUGCCAGAGCCAAAUGGCUUGGAGCUGCACUGUAUGUCCCAGGGGGCCGCUCCAUGACUAAGUCCUUACGGAGAGCAGAGACGGGUACGCUCGGCAAUCGGGCCAACCAACAGUACCCGCUCCCCCUUUCCUCAACAAACUACGAUGCUCACAAGCACCGCUACAUCUUCGUCACCGAAGUGACCAUUAUCCACCAUUGGAGCAUUAUUUAUCAUUAAAGAAUUCAUUAGGCAAGAUUAUUACUUUUAUUAUUAUAUAAAUUAGAUGAGCAGAGCAGCUAAGCAUAACUACUGUUCACUAUUCUACCCAUAUAUAAAACCCAGGAGUACAAGGAAUACAAUAGAAGGCUAGUCAGGUCCUUAGGGUUUGCAGUAUUAAUACACAUGCAGUUAAAGUGAAUAUAAUUAAAGUUCAUAGAUACAAUAUGAUCAAAGGGUGCCUGCACUUGCCUUUAUUCCCAGUGUAUAUCUGCUCAGAAUUCUUUGACUUCUUUCUUGUGAUCUUUAUCUUCUACUGCAACUAAACGACAUGGCUUGUUGCUAUGAUCGAGACAACGCGAGAACGAUUAAGAACAGAGCUAUCGUUAAACGGACACGACUUUCAAGGUUUAAAGUGUAACGGAGAAGAGAACUAUACGCUGGUAGUAUUUUGUGAACACAGGUCAUGGAUUAUUCAAAGAAAUAUCUGAAAGUUGAGUUGACCAAAUUAUAAAGAAUUAUAAAAGGUUAGGGUUAAAUGUUAGUCAUAUUCUAUUUAAUAAAUAAUUAUAUACCACUGAAGCCAAUCAAGCAUUUAUAGAAUAUAUGAAAGCAACUAAUCGAGUGAUUAUAUAUCAUGUUUAAACUAAUCAAGUUGUAAUUAAUAAAGAAACAUUAAGGUUGAUAUUAAUAACAUGGGCAUUUAUUUAUUUUCAAAAGAUCAAAAUUAUAAACAUAAUUUACUUUUAAUUCAAAAUGACUUUAGAUAGAUAUUACUAAAUUAUUUAUGUGCUUCAUGUUUAAAUAAGCAAAUUAUAAUUAAGAAAGUAUUUAAGUUCACAUUUGAUUAUAAAGAUGCCGAAGUGUAAUUCUAAGUUGUUUUUAAAUUAAUUAAAUAGAAAUGCAUUUAAAACAUUAAUCAGAUUAAUUAUACUCAUAAACAUGAGACAAUGAAAAUAGCAUUGCUAAUAUGUAGAUUACACCAACAUAGUCACAACGCAACGAGAAACAAAUUACAACCCUAGAUUGUUCUUUAAUUUAAAAGCUAUUUAAUAGAUAUUAAUCAAAUUAUAUUUAAAUCAAUAAAUUCAAGAAUAAGAUACAUGAUAAAUAUUUAUACUACUACGUAAAGCGCGGCGAUACGAAACUAACUCGACAAGAACGGGCUUAAUCGGAGUUAAAACGCGGAUUCUAUGGCUAAAACUAGGUCGGUGGCAAGAUAGUGAAUAAACAGAACUAUUUUUCGUAUUUUAAAUAAUUAAAACUGAAUUUUAAAAGCGUUUUGGACUAAAUCUUUAAAUACCAAUGGAUCCAGGUGCUAGAUUGCUAAAAACAGGACUUAAACCUAAUUAUUUCCGAACUACUCAGAACUGCGGGUUAAUUUAGAAAAACCGCAGGGGCUUUUUCGCAAGAUGGCCAGGGUGAACCGGGUUUUGGCCGCGUUGACGGCCACGCGGCGCGGCGGGGUAGGUGGGGUGCAGGAGGCGCGCGCGGGGUGAGCCGCGCCCUAGGUUGGAGCGUGGGCGAGCUGGGCCAGGAGCGCUGGCGGCCCACGCGGCAAGAGUGAGGGGGGGAAGGGAGCUGGGCCGGGGAAGAGGGGGGACGGCCCAGGGAGAAAGAAAACCCUUUUUCUUUUUUUUUAAAAAAAAAAUUGAUUUCUAAACUAUUUUACUAAACCAAUUUCAAAACCAUUUUGAAUUCCUAAUUUGAGAUUAUUUAGGAGCUUGUUUUCUUUAAUACUUUUGAAAACCAAGCACAUUUUCCUUAGAUCAUAUCUUUAAAUCAUUUUUCAACUCAAAAUGAAUUUAGUUUUCGAAUAGGACUUUUAGAUUUUUAUUUUUAUUUUUCUUUUCAAAAACCGAAAAGGGCCGAAACGGGCUCGAUAGAAAUUUUGAAAUUUAUUUUUUUACACAAGCCAAACAAAGCUAGGGCACAAAGCACACAAUAACAAAACAAAACACCCUUCACUUGUCUUUAUAAAAGUUUUAAAAUUCCAAAUUUUUCUCUUUUUAUAAUAACAACAAUUAAUAAAAUCUUGCAAUAUUUUAGAAAAAAUUGAAAUCCUUAUUUAAUUUAGUGUUUUUCAAAUAACAAUCCAAAAAUUAAAAAUUUUGGAGUGUUAUAGAUCUACCCCACUUAACAUAAAUCUCAUCCCGAGAUUUGAAGAAACUAGAGAGAAAGAUAAAGUAGAUCAUCAAAGUUGUUUCGAGACUUUCAAGACAUGAUCAAAGAAUUAAAUAUAGACAUAAAGGGUAGAGAGUAUGGUAAAGAUUGAAGACAAGGAAAGAUAAUCGUAUGAGAUUAGAAUUGAUCUUUGGAUCGUGUAUUAUGAUAAGGUGCAAGGGCAAGAAGCAAAUAUUAACAAGAGAUGAUACAUAGGAGAUGGAUAUAAUAUUGCUCACAAUUUCCUUGAUUCCGGGUAUGUAUAAGAUAGUAGACGAAAGGAUAAAGAAUUAGCAGAAGUUGACAAAGACUUAGAUUUUUUUUAAGUCUUCACGCUUAAUCAUUUGUAGUCCUAUGAGACGUAGGAUCAAAGAUCGUCGAUUGGCAAACAUGAUAAGGGUUCAUCGCAAGAAUGAUAAAGAUUCUUAUAUAGUUCUCCAUGUCUUUCUGAUUAGAGAUUUUCGAGAGUGAUGAUCGUAGCGAAUGCUGCCCCACUUAGACCAAGUGUUUGCUCAUCUUCAAAACUCCUAUAUAAGAACACUCAUCUUGUCCGUAGAUAAUCUGCAAAGUUUUCCUUUGGAGGUUACUAGUUCGACAAUACACUGCACCUCUUAAGAUUUGAGGGACACGAAGAGAAACAAAAAGAUGAUUAGAAAGAAUAGAUUGAAAUAAUCUCAGGUAUCUCAAUAAAGGUGUGAGACUUAAACCAAAAGUCGAUAAGGUUAUCUAGUAGAAGGUUCUUGAACAGUAUCUAGAAAAGCAACCCAAGGGGUCUGUUAAGAUUGACCAUAUAUCGGUAUGGUUUUCAUCUGACUUUCAGGUUAUGCAUUUUGUCACGUGAUAGUCCAUCAUAUAUUCCAGGGUGAAAAAUAAGUCUUAUCUUAGGACCUCGGUUUCUUAAUGCCUUGCUUUGAUAGGUCAACAGGCAUCACACUUUCUAUGAUACUUGGUGCUUCUUUGUGGUCUCCAUAGAUGAGUUCUAAGCAGAUUUGACCUACUACUUGCAGUGUUGGGAGAAUGAUGCAAGAAAGAACUACACAAAGGAUGUUGACUCAUUCUAUAAGGAGUAUUUAAGAUCGCUUCAUAGGUAAGCACUACCACUUGAUGUUGGGACAACACUAGGUGCUUCGCCCAAGGUUCCGUCGGUUACCAUAAAAAGACUGAACAUCUGGUCAAACAACUCAUUACUCAUACUAGAAGCUUAAGAAUGAUAAGGUCUGAUGAAAUAGAUGUCUCACUUUACGAAGAGGAUUACAAGUUGCUUGAAUGCAAAAAAUCUUUAUAAGCUAAAAGGCAUAACUGACUUUAGAUUUCAUAGACCAUUAUUGACUAGCUCAAAACUAUCUGGGUCCCUUAAUAUAACUUGCUUCACAUAAGAUGUUGAGAAUAUAUCGCCUUUGUAUAAGGUCCACAUUUCUUUCAAACUGCCUCGUUGUCGAUACAAUCAUUACAUUAGUCCUUUAAACCUUGGGGUGAGGUCGAGGUGCCUUCAUACACAAACCUGUCUCCUGAUGGGGUGAUUAGGGAUACUGAGUGUUGGGUACAAUCAAUCUCUCCAUGACAAGCAGUUAACCAUCCUCUUCCAAGAACGACAUCAAUCUCCAUUGACUCUAGGACUAUAAGAUUUACCUCAAAAAUUACACAUUUUAUGUCGAGACAAACUUUUGGACACAUGUAGGUUGCUCUUAUUUUCCCUCUUGGUGAUUUGACCAGUAUGAGUCUCUUCAUUUCCAACAUAAGCAUCUUAUGAUCGGCAACACAUUUACUCGAGAUAAAAGAAUGUGAAGAACCUGAGUCGAACAAAACAGUGGCAGGAGUUGAGUUGACUAGAAUUGAUCCAAACACCACAUUUUGUGCUUCGCAAGCAGUACACAUAUCCACAUGGUUCAAUCUACCAUUAACAUAGUCACGAACUGGGUACUUCUUUGGACAAUGCUUCUUGUGAUGUCCCUCUUCGUGACACUGGUAACAAGCAUUGCUAACAGUUUUAACAUAGGUGCCAUCCUAACAUUGAGCUCCUUGAAUUGAUGUGCUAGGAGUAACUAAAGUGCUACUAACUUGUUGGUUCUGAGGGUUCACUUUCAAUGGAGUCUCUUCACUAUUUCGCUUCUUAGCUUGAUUACUUUUUCGAGGAUGAAGUUCUAUGUAGGUGAUGGUCCAUCCAUCUAGGCAUAACUCUGGCAUAGCAAGUGUAGCUGAAGGGGCAUCUAACUCUUCAAGAUAUGAAUGUGUCUGAUGAGAGUUUGGAGCUAAAUCUAACUGCCAUGUAGAACUCAGAUUUGGCUCAACACUUAACAGUGGCUCUAGGGAGAUUGCCUUCUUUUCUUGUUACCUUCACUCUGUUGAUCCUAGGGUACUUCUACCUUUCCUUCGCUUGACUUUUUCUAAAGGCACGGUAAACCAUAAUAUCUGCAACAAUUACAUGGCUCUUGAAUCCCAAGCGCCUCAUUAAUACCAUCUGUUGACGGUCCUUGAGUAUCAAAUUUAAUUAUCAAAUAAACAAAGAAAAGGAUCCAAAUGAAAUCAACAUCUAGACUUAGGGUUUUAUCUAACAGAAUUCCACGAGUUUUGGUGUUUGUCUAUUUUUGCAGGGGGUUAUCAGGAAAUACGGAAGAAAGGCCCACACGUCAGGAUUACAUAGAGAUAUUAACGUGUCGCGCAAUUAUCUUACAUCUAGAAGACUCCAGAAGCCACGAGACCGAAGCGGAGGCGAAACGGGGCCAGAGGCAGGGCGCCCGCCCUCCUGCCCUGGGCGCCCGCCCCCUCCCUGAGUCCAAUCAGGACUCUGCUUCGUGGGAGAUCUCCACCGACCUAAAGGAUGAAUCUAAACCAUACAAUCUAUGUCGGUUUGAUCCAACGGCCCAUAUUCACUUGAAGGGACUAUAAAACCAGACCCCCUGGCCCCUGGAGGAGAGAGCCUCUCAACCCUAAUUCAUUGUUCUUCAAGGGAGAAGAAGUCUCUGAUCAAGAUUAGAGCCACCACAUCAAUUAGAUAUCUAGAUUAGCAUAGCUACAUAGGAUUGGAGUCAAUCUUCGAUUGGUUUCCGGAUCUAUCAAGAGGAUUCUUGGUAAUUCUCUAAUUGUGCUUCUAAUUACUUUCUAAUUAUCUUUGUUCUUCAAUAUUAUGAAUAUGACUUUGUUCUACUUCAAUAUAUUGCUUAUGACUUUGCUCUACUUGCUUAUAUUCAAGAUUAUAUUGUUCUUAGUUUAUCAUAGUUAUGUACUUGGCUUAGUUAGAUUGGAUCUAUAUACAUGCUUAGGAUCGUAUAGCGUUUAUCCAUCGAAUCCUUGGGUAAAUGAUAGAUAUUGUGUAGGCGUGGUGCUUAUACCGUAUUUAUCUGCGAUUGUACCCAAUAUGCCAGAUCGUGGGGUGGUUCAUGAUAGUGACAGCUUCAUUGAUUCUUAUAUAGUCCCCCUCUUGUGUAUUGGGCUGGCAGAGCAACAUUAUUACAGGGGAGUGAUUGCUAUGUUUCUCAUAUUCCUUGCUAAUAUCACUAUGCAUGGGUGUAGUCUUGUCUCGCAAUGAUUGCUAAGUAUGCUUGCACUAACUAUGAUAAUGCUAGACUAUAUAGUUAAGAAUAACUUAGGGAAUAUUCUUGUAGUUCGUUCUAAUACCAUGCUAAUGACUUUCUAGAGUAUCUAAUUGAGGUGCUUAUCAUAUUUAUAUGUGGCUGAUCACAUUAAUUACCUUUGUCACUAUUCAUUAUUUCAUAUAUCUUUUAUGUGACACUUAUCCUUGUAUGAAGAGUUAGAUAAAUGUUCUCAAUUAUACAUGCAAUGAUAGAUGCUCAAUCUCAUAUUCUAUUCUGUAAUCAAUAUUGAUGAUUGCUAAUCUCUUCCCAGUGGUAAAAAUAUAAAUAACGAUACCUGGAAUACCUCCCGGUUAAAAUGCUACAUCGGUAUUAAUCUGUGCGCUUGCAGAUCCCAUUCAUUAUUUAUUUAGAAGAGCAAUUGCAUUUUUCAAUACCGCGUCUCUCAUGUCAUGCUGGGGAUGACAACUUGGCUUAAGUGGUAUGAGGGAUAGGUUUGGCAUUUUUGGCACCGUUACUAGAUUUAGAGAACUUAGUCUACUUUUGGUAAUGAUGUUAAGAAUACCCAACACCAUCUUUCCUAGUUUCCAUGUUCCUCCAGACUUCUACUAUUUGUCUCUUCAUUGCUCUUUCCUGAGUUUUGGUCAUUGUCUUCUCUGAAUGUAACUGAGAAUCUUUUUGUGGUCCCACUACACUUAGUACUUGAUCCUGUGUAAACAAAGGCUUCUCCUUGUUUACUAGUGACAAGGGUAACAUGGUUGGGUCUUUCUGACAUUUGAUGUAAGCUUCUUCUAUGUCACCUUGGAGAAGUAGAGCUUGUACAAUCAAAAGUUUCUAGAGUCUGGCCAUCUGAUCAGCUGCCAUCUUUAGGAUCUGAGCUUGCCAGGCUAUCACCUAUUCACCACUUAGUUGUGUUGUAGAAGGCAUUUGUUGACUCUGAUCACUGGUAUUAAUUCCUUUGACAUCAUCAUUGGUGUCGAUCAUCUGACAUUAGGCAAUAGUAGAACGAGCUAGGGUAGUAUGGACAAAGAGCAUGAUAUGAAGUGAGAGAAAAUAGGUGGAGAGGAUCAAGAUUGACAAUAGAUGGAUAGGAUAAGAGAGAUCACUACCCCACUUAGCAAAGAUCGAGCUAACCCUCAAACAACUUCUUCUAGACCUCCUUCAAAACACUAGAACAAAGACAACACACAAACAACAAACCAAGCAAAACAAGCACGCAACACAUCAACAUACUACACGUGCUUCUUCAACAAUGGUGGUCAUCCUAAAAGGUAGGUCUGAGAUGAUGAAGGGCCAUCGACAUUGGGAAAUAAAGCAAGUUUUGAAAACUUAAGUAAAACACAUAAUAAACAAAAGCCAAGGAGAUAAAUAGAAAUAGCUCAAAGGAAGCUAUUCAAGGAGGGGAUACAACAUGACAAGGAUGAAGAAAUAGUCAAGGGAUGAGAAAAUAGUUUUAUAUCAAAAUAAGCUUUAGAAAUCGACCAGUGCUAUCUAGGCAUACGUCCUACAGUCAACAUUGCUUUGAUACCAUUCCUAUCACACCCUGGUUUAAAAAAAUAAACCAGAGUCAUCAUAUGUGUGCCCAGGAAGUCCACACAUAUAACAAAAGAAUAGAAAUAUCAGAAACAAUGUUAUAUAUAGUGGAAAACAUAUUUACAAUAACACUUACAAACAUCAGAGUAUGCGGAAAUAGUAGCUAAACUUCUUUGGCUCCAUUCUUCUCAGGGACGGUUGAGUGGGGGCUCCGUAUGCCAAGCACUUCUCAUAAGCUUCUAGAAAUCUCCAUGACAUCUUAACCUUCUUCUGAGCAGCACUUUGCUACGCACUGGGGGUGUGGGGGAAAUAGCAAGGGUGAGUUCAUGUCGAACUCAACAAGUACAGGUGGAAAGUAUAAUGACAUACAAGGCUUAAUCAAAGGAAAAGGUGACACUGUUUAACUGCAGGUGAGCUUUUAAGUUGGUAAACUUUUAUUACGAUUCUUUUAUUAAAACAACCUAUUACUAAAUAUGAGUGAAGCAUCCCAACCCUUAAUUAGAUGAAAGUAAAUUAAUAAUAUUAUUACUCAUCUUUAUAAUUAUUAUUAUUGUUAAGACCUCCGAGGUAGCAACCUCAAAUAGUAACUCGGGGUAGCAACCCCAUUAAGGUCAUGGGAUAGCAAUCCCAAUUAAGAACACAGGAUAGCAAUCCUGCCAACACGGAAUAGCCAUUCCGCCAAAGCACGAGGUAGCAACCUCAACCAAAUUUUGCCUCCAAGUUCCAUGUUAUUCCAAUUUGCUCAUCAUAUGAGAGUCUGGGCCACUCGUGACCGUGAGCAUGGCUGAUAUAUCAGUUUUACACUCUAUAGAGGUGUGCACUUUCACUCCAAGUCGUGAUUCCCAUUCGCCCGGGGUCGCGACUCCCCAAAACACUACCAAGGUGAGCAGGCAGGGUUUCACUACGAGACCUUUCACGGGGUCCGACUAAUAGGAUGCCACUCGUAAGUUUUUGCCGGGGCACGCGGCAGCCGUGCCCAUAGCAAUGGGACCCCGAACUGACCGACCUCUUAAUAAGAAUACCCAAGCUACUUCCUUACGCCUACCCGAAAAGUAACACCCUACCAGCGGAGGUCCUAAUAAUUAGUCAAGCUAGAGCCAUAUGGCUUGGAGCUGCACUGUAUGUCCCAGGGGGGCGCUCCAUGACUAAGUACUUACGGAGAGCAGAGAUGGGUACGCCCGGCAACCGGGCCAACCAACAGUACCCGCUCCCCCUUUCCGCAACAAACCACGAUGCUCACAAGCACCACAACAUCUUCGUCACCGAAGUGACCAUUAUCCACCAUUGGAGCAUUAUUUAUCAUUGAAGAAUUCAUUAGGCAAGAUUAUUACUUUUAUUAUUAUAUAGAUUAGAUGAGCAGAGCAGCUAAGCAUAACUACUAUUCACUAUUCUACCCAUAUAUAAAACCGAGUACAAGGAAUACAAUAGAAGGCUAGUCAGGUCGUUAGGGUUUGCAGUAUUAAGACACAUGCAGUUAAAGUGAAUAUAAUUAAAGUUCAUAGGUACAAUAUGAUCAAAGGGUGCCUGCACUUGCCUUUAUUCCCAGUGUAUAUCUGCUCAGAAUUCUUUGACUUCUUUCUUGUGAUCUUUAUCUUCUACUGCAACUGUUGGUCCUCAGCUCCUGGUCUUUACUGUUGACGAACCACACUUCUUCUACUCGAAGCAAACAAGCAACACAAAUAGACAAACAACAAUCACGACUAAGAUCAAACGACACUCAAAAGAAAAGCUUAGAAAGAGGGCACUAAACGACAUGGCUUGUUGCUAUGAUCGAGACAACGCGAGAACGAUUAAGAACAGAGCUAUCGUUAAACAGACACGACUUUCAAGGUUUAAAGUGUAACGGAGAAGAGAACUAUACGCUGGUCGUAUUUUGUGAACACAGGUCAUGGAUUAUUCAAAGAAAUAUCUGAAAGUUGAGUUGACCAAAUUAUAAAGAAUUAUAAAGGUUAGGGUUAAGUGUUAGUCAUAUUCUAUUUAAUAAAUAAUUAUAUACCACUGAAGCCAAUCAAGCAUUUAUAGAAUAUAUGAAAGCAACUAAUCGAGUGAUUAUAUAUCAUGUUUAAACUAAUCAAGUUGUAAUUAAUAAAGAAACAUUAAGGUUGAUAUUAAUAACAUGGGUAUUUAUUUAUUUUCAAAAGAUCAAAAUUAUAAACAUAAUUUACUUUUAAUUCAAAAUGACUUUAGAUAGAUAUUACUAAAUUAUUUAUGUGCUUCAUGUUUAAAUAAGCAAAUUAUAAUUAAAAAAGUAUUUAAGUUCACAUUUGAUUAUAAAGAUGCCGAAGUGUAAUUCUAAGUUGUUUUUAAAUUAAUUAAAUAGAAAUGCAUUUAAAACAUUAAUCAGAUUAAUUAUACUCAUAAACAUGAGACAAUGAAAAUAGCAUUGCUAAUAUGUAGAUUACACCAACAUAGUCACAACGCAACGAGAAACAAAUUACAACCCUAGAUUGUUCUUUAAUUUAAAAGCUAUUUAAUAGAUAUUAAUCAAAUUAUAUUUAAAUCAAUAAAUUCAAGAAUAAGAUACAUGAUAAAUAUUUAUACUACUACGUAAAGCGCGGCGAUACGAAACUAACUCGACAAGAACGGGCUUAAUCGGAGUUAAAACGCGGAUUCUAUGGCUAAAACUAGGUCGGUGGCAAGAUAGUGAAUAAACAGAACUAUUUUUCGUAUUUUAAAUAAUUAAAACUGAAUUUUAAAAGCGUUUUGGACUAAAUCUUUAAAUACCAAUGGAUCCAGGGGCUAGAUUGCUAAAAACAGGACUUAAACCUAAUUAUUUCUGAACUACUCAGAACUGCGGGUUAAUUUAGAAAAACCGCAGGGGCUUUUUCGCAAGAUGGCCAGGGUCAACAGGGUUUUGGCCGCGUUGACGGCCACGCGGCGCGGCGGGGUAGGUGGGGUGCAGGAGGCGCGCGCGGGGUGAGCCGCGCCCUAGGUUGGAGCGUGGGCGAGCUGGGCCAGGAGCGCUGGCGGCCCACGCGGCAAGAGUGAGGGGGGGAAGGGAGCAGGGCCGGGGAAGAGGGGGGACGGCCCAGGGAGAAAGAAAACCCUUUUUCUUUUUUAAAAAAAAUUGAUUUCUAAACUAUUUUACUAAACCAAUUUCAAAACCAUUUUGAAUUCCUAAUUUGAGAUUAUUUAGGAGCUUGUUUUCUUUAAUAUUUUUGAAAACAAAGCACAUUUUCCUUAGAUCAUAUCUUUAAAUCAUUUUUCAACUCAAAAUGAAUUUAGUUUUCGAAUAGGACUUUUAGAUUUUUAUUUUUAUUUUUCUUUUCAAAAACCGAAAAGGGCCGAAACGGGCUCGAUAGAAAUUUUGAAAUUUAUUUUUUUACACAAGCCAAACAAAGCUAGGGCACAAAGCACACAAUAACAAAACAAAACACCCUUCACUUGUCUUUAUAAAAGUUUUAAAAUUCCAAAUUUUUCUCUUUUUAUAAUAACAACAAUUAAUAAAAUCUUGCAAUAUUUUAGAAAAAAUUUAAAUCCUUAUUUAAUUUAGUGUUUUUCAAAUAACAAUCCAAAAAUUAAAAAUUUUGGAGUGUUAUAGGGAGAAGGGCAAGUGGUGGAAACCCUAUGUAGGGAUCAACCGACCCCCCUCCUAGCACUUUAAUUCAAAAUUUGCUUUGGCCAGGGAAUCUUACAUCAAAGUAUGAAAUCACUUUUCAGAGAUGGUCCAAAGUGGGGUCGUCCGACCCCCACCCUAAGCCCUCUUUUGCUAGGUGUGGACCAAAGGGCUAGGUGUGGACCAAAAGUAGUGAUCUUUUUUAGAGAUUCCCUUGCCUAGUGCUUAGUGAAAGAGAAAAGAUGAUAGGCUAAAGUGGAGACAUGUCAUAAGAUAUUCCCAUGGACCAUGGAGACACUAAAGCAUGCCUAUGUGACCACUUUGCAGGAGUUGAGCAUGGUGGCAUGGUCCCAACACUUUAAAGAUGAAAGCAACAUCUUAUGUUUAAAGUGAUAAAGCAAAGGACCAUUUCUUUUCAGACCUUGGUUAGAGUGGUAUGCAUAGAUUUAUGUGUUAAGCAUCUGGGAGACAGUAGAGUGCAGGUGACCCAAUAUGGGGGUCAGGUGACCCCCCACUUUGGUCCUCCACUUGCACCCAAGUCCUGGCAUCAUAUCACUAUACUAAGCCAAGGUGAAAGAAUGGUCAGUGGGCCCAAUGGUGCGGUCAGGCAACCCCACUUUUGGUGGUCCAACUGCUCAAAAAUUAUUGCAAGUUGUUCUCAAGUAUUUAUUUAUUGGGGUUAAGUAUUUUGUCAAAAAUAAAAUAUGCAAGAUUAUAACUAAGAAUGCAAUUGAAAAGUGCAAGACAAGAAUGCAGAAAGCAAAUAUGAGAUAACUAUUUAUUUACAUUCCAGCAGGGGCUCCAUGUUUUAGGUCCAUAGAGCAGGACCUCUCCAUUUUGUUCAUGCUUUGGGUGCCUCGGAUGGUCCUAGAGAUGGGGACCGUGAUUGCACCUUUCUCCCGCCAUACUGGUUUGAUUUUGGCCUGUGGUUCAGCGGGUUCUUCCUUCUCUAGUUUGACUUUGUUGGCCGACUCACCUUUCUUAUUCCUUCGGCGCGGGUAAUAGCGAGGUUUGUUCUUCGGUGCCUUGUCCUUCACUUGCAUGUUAGUUUUAUAACCAUUGAAUGGACACUUUACCUUUGCUCCUAGGAAUUGAAGAUGAAUUUGGCCGGACCCCACAUAGAUGAUAAUGUUGGCUGUGUUAAGGAAGGGCCUUCCCAGGAUGAUAGGAUUAUCAGCUCCCAUGUCUAGGAUGAUGAAGUCGGCGGGGGCGUAUUUGUCUUGUACUUUGACUAGUAUGUCCCUUGCUAGUCCCUUAGGGAACCAGAUCGUUUGAUCGGCCAUCUGCAAUUGAACAAAUGUUGGGAGCAAAGGCCCCCCUAAUAGGUUCUCAUAAGUUACCUUGGCCAUGAUGUUAACACCUCAUCCAAGGUCGCAUAAGGUGUUGUGGAAGAUUUGUGGUCCAAUUUCACAGGUGUUGGUUGGGUGGCUUCGAUCGUCCUUCUUGGUGAUUAAUGGUUGGUCAAGGAGAUAACUCUAGUUUGACUGCAAUGGAGGCUUACUGAACCUUAUGUUUACUAAUUUAACACCUUCAAUUGGAUCCUCAGGUUUCCCUAGGAUCUUACCUUGCUCGAUGGAUGGGACACCUGCUGCUAGUUGAGCUAAUUGUGUUUCUAGCAUUUUAUUGAAGCUCAAUUGAUUUUUCACAGCAGAGUUAAAGCUAUCCAUUUUCUCACUUAAGUUUUCAAGAAUCUUAUCAUUAGCCAUCAUUUUCUUAUUUAUGCUAUCAUUUAUUUUGGACUAGCCUAAGACAAGAUCUUUAAUGAAGGUUGGUUACCAUAAGAAUUAUUGAAAUUAUUGUUGUAACUAUUUCCUUGGUUUUGGUAGAAGGGACGCGAGUUCCAUCCUUGUUGUUGUUGUUUGGGCCCGUACCCAUUGUUGUUGUUGUUGUUGUUGUUGAUGAUGAUGAUGAAGCUCACUUCCUCCUUUGUUUUGGGACAAUUAUUUCCCGAAUGAUCUUCUCCUCCACAUACUUCGCACCAUGGACCAGCUUCGACGACUCGUGCGGUUGCGUAGGGUUGAAUGACCUCUUGUUCCUUCUUGGAACCUUUUUCUACCUUUUUCAUCAAGAGGUCCAUUUUAGCGGAGAGCAUGUCCACCUCAUUGAGGGCGUGGACACCUCUCUUCUUGGGCUGGAGGCGUUCCUCAUUCCAUUCUUGAUUUGUAACCAUCUUCUCUAUGAGGUCUUUGGCAUCCAUGACGUUGUGUUGCAAGAAUGCGCCUCCAGUAGCAGCAUCAAGGUGACUCUGGGCCAAACCGGUUAGGCCAUGGUAGAAACCUUGAAUGAGGAGCCAUUCCUCUAUCCCAUGAUGAGGACAGGCACGAAUGUACUCCUAGAUAUGUUCCCAUGCUUUGGGGUUUGUCUCAUUAGCUUGUUGUUGGAAGCUGGAGAUCUUUCCACAAAGGGCGCUGGUUUUGCCCAUCGGGAAGAACUUCUUGAGAAAUGCAUUGGCGCACUUCUCCCAUGUGGUGACCUCACUUUUGUUGGUAUAGAACCAUUGCUUCACCUUUAUCAAUAGCAAGAAUGGGAAAAGGCUGAGAUGGAUGGCGUCUGCAGAAACAUUCUUGAUAGUGAAGGUACCACACAACUCCAGGAAGUGUUGGAGUUGGGCGUUGACGUCCUCAUGUGGCUUCCCAGAGAAAGGGUUGACUUGCACCAUGUUGAUGAGUGUUGGCUUAAACUCAAAAGUUGCAUCACCCAAGUUAAUCUGUGGACCCAAGGCAACAUAGUCAGCUGACGAUGUAGAGUACUCAGAGAUGGUCUUUUGGGCCAUAACCUCCUUGAAAAUUGGUGCAGAACCUCCUUCCUCGAAUAGAUUUAGGAUCGAGAUGAACCUUUGAGGUUGAGCUUGAUGGCGUCUAACUAUCCUCAACAACUGCUCAGGAUCUUCAACAAAAUAUGAUGGCAGUUGGAAACCACUCAUUCACCUUCUAGUUCCACGAUAACAAGAAACAAGAUAGGUGCGGGGUAAGCCCCUACACUAAUUGAUAACUAGACCGAUAGUAGACUCUGGAUUCACUUUUAUUAAAAUUCCUAGGCUGACGCUUUCCCCGGCAAUGGCGCUAGAAAUGCUUGUUGGCAAAUCUUAGCAUCGUCACUAGAUGUUAGCAACGAUGCAAGAAAUGCCAGGUGGGUACUUCUUGUGUCUAUUGGAUUGUUCCGCAAGCGCACAGAAUAUACCGAUGUAGCACUUCACCGAGGAUGAGUAUUCCAAGGUAUCUUUAUUUAUUUUAUCCCAAGAGAAAGCAAUGCUAGGAAUAUUUAAAAAGAGAAGAGAUAUCCUUAUGUCUACUAUGAUCUACUAUCGACUAGUGAAGAAGGAGGGUAAGUGAUUGAUAGGAAGGGUAGAUAAGUAAGGUAGCAAAGAAUCUAAGCUAAAGAUAACUGGUAGAGUGUUAGCUAGGUGGGAGGACAACGAGUGAGUAAAGGACUCCUAUGUAUCCUACUUUACUUCUUUGUACUUGAUCCUAAUAGAUAGCUGACUCAACUAGACUAAUGCCAUACUCCUUGUGUGAGGGGGAUAGCCAAGAAAAUAGGAGAUAGAACCCCUGCUAAAGCAACUAUACUCUUAUGGACGCCUAGCAUUUUAAGAACUAGUUUGUACGUGAGGAGAUCCUAAUGCCGAGCACGACCUGUCACGUCCAACCAGUGCGCUCCUACCGUCCGUCCAAACCAACGACUAUCAAAGGUGAUCCUUAGUUUAAGCACCGCACUUACACUAACUCUCACGACUCUAACUAUGGCGUAGAUAGCUCAAGCUCCUAUGCAAGAUAGGACGAUGAAACACACACAAGGAGUUGGUUAUAGGAAACCAAUCAACCUAAGUCAACUAAUAUUACUAAGACAAGCACACAACAAGGCUAUAGUAACUAUAGACUUGUACUAAGUAAAUACUUAAGUAAAUACUAAGUAAAGUAAAGGAAGAAUAAUAUAUUGAUAAAAGUAAACUCUUACAAAAGAGGAAAGGUAUAAGAGCUAUACCAGACUCUCUAGAAGACGACUCCAGAGACCCUGAGCUUCGCUCGACUCGACUCUAACUCCCACUCUAGACUAACUACUACUACACUACUUGAUCCUUGAAGGAUUGAGAGACUUAAUGCUCUUCUAGGGAUGCCUCUCAAGGGUGGAGGCAGCCUCUAUUUAUAGAGGAGGGAGAGGGGGUGCCACAUCAGUGAUCCGUCUGCUUCAUGCCUCUCCACCCUUAAAUGAACCGGCUUAGUAACCGCCAUAGAUGGAGGGCCAUGGUAAUUUGGACAUGUGGAAGUUGUGCUUGAGUCAGUGGGGAGCCAACCGACUUGGUUAGGCACCAGGAGGGGGUCGCCUGACCCCUCUAUGGUAGGUGGGCCCAGCCAGGGUCUUCUAGAAGGUGACCCUAGUUAUCAUGUGAAGUGGCUCCACCAUUUGUGAAAGAUUUGUCAUGUUGCUUGCUUACUUGUGGGCCCAUGGAUCUAUGUGCAAUGAUCUUUCACCACUAGAAGUUGAUCUGAGGGUGGAAAUGGACUCCAGGGGUCUCCACAUGGAUUGUACUUCAUAGCACACCUCUUGGUGGGACCAUAAUGGGGUCGCCCGACCCCCUCAUUAGGUCCUUCUAAGGUGCAUUUUCUUGUUUCCAGUAAUCAAAGGCUAAGAGUACAAGUGGAACCAGUUAUGGAUAAAAUAUGUUCAUGUUUUGCUAUUCUUCUGUGAGACCGAGGCAUGUUGACGGUGUUUUGAGUGUGAAUUUCUAUGGUACAUCCACCGUCAACAUGAUCCCCCAAGCUUAACCUUUACUCGUCCCAAGCAAACAAUCAAACUUAGCCUCGAUGGAUGAACUAUUGUUACUAUGCUCACAUUUCAAGAGUACCAUGUGUACAACAAAGUUCUUCUCUUUGAAUGAAAUAUUAGCUUAAAAACUCACCCAUAUUACCUUAGUCCUCUAUGGGGCUUAUGGCUUUUCCUUUGUCUUAGGCGGUUGAAAGAUAGAACGGUUUGACUUGAGCACUCAUUUUCUUAUUCAUAGCAAGUUUCAUACCGGAGGUUUUGUAAUAUUUUUUUUUCAAAUGAAAACUUAAUGUUCCUCAUAUGGUUCUCUCAAGUCACUCGAAUGGUGUAUGAUUCCUCACCUAGGCAUAUGAUAAGAAUUACCUUCCUUAGUUCUUCCUACUUCUAAAAAGCAUAUGUGGAGUUCAAGGUAGGGAUAAAGAAAGAUAGAAUACUCACUUUGCAUUUAUUGGGAAGUCAAAGCUUGGAUCCAAGAAGAGAAGUGUCAUACCCCUAGAUCAAGAUGUGCAAGUGUGUGGUAUAUAAUGAACUAGGUUGCUCCUUUAUUUGAUAAGAUAUCUCUCUAUAUUUUUUUUUCUAUUAAGACAUGGCUAGCUCUUUUUUUUCUUUUCUUCUUUUUUCAUGGACCUUCAUGUGCCCAUAUGUAUAUAUAUGUUGCAUAGCCCUUUUGGUGUCUCAUCUAUUACACCAUAUUUGGAGAGGUAUUCUAAUACUUAAAGCAAGGAGCAAGUUAUUUGGUGGAAAUGGAAGACAUAUUUUUGCGUACUUCUAGUGUAGAAGCAGCAUGUAUAUAUGUGGUGUGUGUGUGAUCUUGAUCUUGGGAGCAUGAUAAGUCUCUUAAACAAGGGUCAACAAGACUUGACAACACUCAACACAAAUCAAAUAGCUUAUGUGGAAGGUUUAUAAACAUGUAGAGCAUAUAUGGCCGUGGUAGGAAUUUAUCAUCAGUGAGGAACAAUUAAGGUUUUGAUAAUUUUAAGAAUAAAUUCUCAGGUAUUGCAACAUGCUUAGAACAAUACUAUAGCAGCUCUAAUCUCACUAUCUCAUAUCCCUCAACAACUUAGACUUAGUUUUAGCACUUGCAACCCACAAAGUUUUUGGGUUCAUGAUGGUUUAAGUGAGCUAAGUAAUACAUACUUGGAGAAAUGCUAGGCUGUAAACUAGGUACUAAGGAAAUAUUGACAGAGUAACUAUUCAUCAUUUCCAUAAGGAAGAUAAACAUACAUGAAGCAUAUGUGUUAAGCGAGAUAAGCAAAUAUUUUUUUGAUAUUUUCUUUUUUUGAAUGCACUAAGAUGAAUAACUAGAAUGCAAAAUGCUAAGAUAGAAUACUUACCUUAGUGGGGGAGAGGAUCUCCCCCAAGCUUGGCUUUUGCUCACUGUGGCGGCGGAUAAUGUUAGAACCAUCCGGCCCAUCAUUGUGCUUCCUCAGCUUGUAUUGCUUGUAGAAGUUGGGCAUUUUGUUGUGCCAGCUGCAGCAUUGCUUCUUAUUCAAUGUGCAUUGCACCCGUGUUGUUGAUGAGGUCGUCCAUCUCUGUCCUUUGGUGGCACCUUUCCCUGCCCCGUGGGUGAGGAGUGCGUUGUGGACGUGGAGGCCUUUCCAUGGACCCUCAUAUGUCCAUAGAGCUUGCCUCAUCGCCUUCUUCAACUUCAUCUCCUGCAGGAUUUGAGGGAGCACAUUGCUCCAUUUAAGCAGCUCGUGACAUUCCUCUUGUCAUUUGGCGUGGUCCUACAAUAUUUUGGCUACGUGACUCUUUGUCUAAUUUAAUGGUUAGCGUACGAAGCGCAUACAGUUGACAUUUCUCACAAGGGAGAGGAACUUCAACUGUAUAGCCCGAAUAAACCAUUUUAAGUCCAAACCUUGGACCUCUUUUGAGCACAUUAAUAUUAAUGAAGACAUCCUCAUUUAAAACAUCUCUAGCAGAGGUGAUGUACUCAAAGGUAUGUGGCUCUAGUGCAUCCGUUGAUUCGGCUAUACGAGUAAUGAAUGAUGUAAAGUAAAUGGGUUUUCCAUACUCAAUGGAGUUGAGCCAAUAGUCCACUAGCAGUUUAACAGGUGAGACCUUAAUUUUGCAUACCAUUGCAUAGAGAAGUUUAAGUUCUUCAUCACUUAAGAUGUUACCUCUAGUUCUAAGAAAAAGAGUCAUACACAUCCACUAAUGAAGAAAACACAGGGUCAGGUUAUGGAUUUGGUGGGGUGUAAGAUUAGAGCAAUCGUUGGAACCAGAUAUUGCUUUCCAAAAGUCAUUUUUCUAAACCCGAUAGUGGCAUGGUCUAGAUCAAGUUCACAAUUGUGCUCACAUCCUAGGGUAGUGUUCAAGAUGCUCCAAGUUAAAUUACAUUUUUCCCUAAACAUGUGAAAGGCUACGCCAUUGAAUGUUAAUUGUAAAGUACACAAAAAAUCUUGGGUGAUCACUUCUAUGCCAAGUUCAGGAACCAUCCAAAAUCCUCCCCAACCAAUUGUGUUAAAAACAACAUUAAACUCUGCACUCAUACCUGUGUGGUCCAAGAGAACCGGAUCGAUGAUGCUUGUGCAGCGAAAACUGCUUGAUCGUAGGGUGUUGUAUUUCUGUAGCUCUUCUUGGGUUAGCAUGAGGCCGCUCCCGGGCUCUCUUACUCUUGGUGGAGGCUCAUAGAGUACCACUUGGUGGUGACUCUCUUCCUCAUCCCUCCUCUCAUGGGUUCCUUUGGUGUGGUGAGAGUUAUGGGAAGAGCUCUCACCCUUCUUGGACUUCUUAAACCGGGAGGUGAGUAACUUCUUCAUCUAGCUACACAAGUGAGACAAACCAAGCUCCUACUAUUCCUACUAUGCAAGGGAUAAAGGGCAAAUCUUUUUGGGUUUUUGUUUUGGGAUGCUACUACUAAGCUAAAUAUUGAG